GACGAACGCUGGCGGCGUGCCUAAUACAUGCAAGUUGAGCGAUGAAGAUUGGUGCUUGCACCAAUUUGAAGAGCAGCGAACGGGUGAGUAACGCGUGGGGAAUCUGCCUUUGAGCGGGGGACAACAUUUGGAAACGAAUGCUAAUACCGCAUAACAACUUUAAACAUAAGUUUUAAGUUUGAAAGAUGCAAUUGCAUCACUCAAAGAUGAUCCCGCGUUGUAUUAGCUAGUUGGUGAGGUAAAGGCUCACCAAGGCGAUGAUACAUAGCCGACCUGAGAGGGUGAUCGGCCACAUUGGGACUGGGACACGGCCCAAACUCCUACGGGAGGCAGCAGUAGGGAAACUUCGGCAAUGGACGAAAGUCUGAACGAGCAACGCCGCGUGAGGGAAGAAGGUUUUCGGAUCGUAAAACUCUGUUGGUAGAGAAGAACGUUGGUGAGAGUGGAAAGCUCAUCAAGUGACGGUAACUACCCAGAAAGGGACGGCUAACUACGUG
Molecule: ribosomal RNA, 497 nt
Filed under: uncultured bacterium
Lineage: Bacteria
Description: partial 16S ribosomal RNA
Rfam family: Bacterial small subunit ribosomal RNA
Source: RNAcentral